UGGGAUAACAAAGGAGCAACCUACGGUACUAUCGUUUUCGGCUUUUGUUGGUUUUAGAAGUCUGUGGGAGAAUAUAGAUUCGUGCGACCAGCGGUCCGGGGUCCGUCCCCGCGCUUUUUGCCUUGUGAGGCUUCGGCCCUGCAUUGUAGACUCGCGGAUCCAGGAAUGAAGGAGGGUUGUUCGGGGGAGAACGUACUGGAACGUGAGAGGUGAAAUUCUUAGACCGUUCCAAGACGAACUACAGCGAAGGCAUUCUCCAAGGAUACCUUCCUCAAUCAAGAACCAAAGUGUGGAGAUCGAAGAUGAUUAGAGACCAUUGUAGUCCACACCACAAACGGUGACACCCAUGAAUUGGGGAGUACUUUGGCGUUUUUUCUCUUUGCUGGGCUUGUUCCCAGUGGGAGGCGCCAAAAACAACAAUUUACGUGCACGUUCUAUUCGGGCCGUGCGUUCACGCGCAUUUUGGUCCAUCAGCGGGAAUGUCCUCAGCACGUUAUCAUAUUUUUUCACGCGAAAGCUUUGAGGUUACAGUCUCAGG
RNAcentral lists this ribosomal RNA (538 nucleotides) under Bodonidae sp. RNAcentral's name for it is "SSU rRNA". It matches the Rfam family "Eukaryotic small subunit ribosomal RNA", at positions 810 to 1117 of the family's 1831-position model. Lineage: Eukaryota; Euglenozoa; Kinetoplastea; Eubodonida; Bodonidae. The record is from RNAcentral.